Molecule: ribosomal RNA, 465 nt
Filed under: uncultured bacterium
Lineage: Bacteria
Description: partial 16S ribosomal RNA
Rfam family: Bacterial small subunit ribosomal RNA
Source: RNAcentral
GAUGAACGCUGGCGGCGUGCUUAACACAUGCAAGUCGAACGGAAAGGCCCAAGCUUGCUUGGGUACUCGAGUGGCGAACGGGUGAGUAACACGUGGGCGAUCUGCCCUGCACUUCGGGAUAAGCCUGGGAAACUGGGUCUAAUACCGGAUAGGACCACAUUUUGGAUGGUGUGGUGGAAAGCUUUUCGGUGUGGGAUGAGCUCGCGGCCUAUCAGCUUGUUGGUGGGGUAAUGGCCUACCAAGGCGUCGACGGGUAGCCGGCCUGAGAGGGUGUACGGCCACAUUGGGACUAGGAUACGGCCCAGACUCCUACGGGAGGCAGCAGUGGGGAAUAUUGCACAAUGGGCGCAAGCCUGAUGCAGCGACGCCGCGUGGGGGAUGACGGCCUUCGGGUUGUAAACUCCUUUCGCUAAAGACGAAGCGCAAGUGACGGUACCUGGAGAAGAAGCACCGGCUAACUACGUG